Long non-coding RNA from Lycium ferocissimum, 2450 nucleotides. RefSeq lists it as uncharacterized. NCBI's taxonomy places the organism in Eukaryota, Viridiplantae, Streptophyta, Magnoliopsida, Solanales, Solanaceae. The record is from RefSeq and is a predicted model, not a curated record. The transcript has 4 exons.
CUUCUCUGUUGAAGAUUUUUGAAGUUGCUAUGUCUCAAUAAGGCGAAGAGGAGCUGAAGAGAAUGGAAAAAUAAGUGAUGGCGUUUCUUUUGACUAUUUAGGGAUUCAACCCCUUUUCUUCUUUUACCUAAUGAAAAUGUUCUUCUACAUUUGAUUUCUCAAAUACCCAAAAGCCUAUUCUUGAAUAAAAAAGCAAUCUUUAUGUGUUUUGUGCUUAUGGGUACUCAAGAGUGUUGUUGUUGUUGUUUUUUUUUUGAACUGCCAAAAUUAAAACUUAAGUUUCAGUCAAACAUUUGAUUUCUCAAACACCCAAAAGCCAUCUUUAUGUCUUUUGUGCUUAUGGGUACUCAGAGUGUUGUUGUUGUUGUUGUUUUUUUUUUUUUUUUUUUUUUCUGGAAUUGAUCUGCAAAAAUUAAAACUUAAGUUUUUUGACUGAUAAAGAAAAUGUUGUGACUGAUUUUAAAAAUUUUACAUAUUUUUUCUUGGAUUUUUUUUGAGUGUUUUAGUAAGUAAUGGAAUGAAAAAUGGAUCAUUAUGAGAUCAUGGAAGAAAUGGGGCGUGGAGCAUUUGGUGCUGCUAUUUUAGUUAAUCGCAAGAAGUAACUUGAAGAAAGAAAGAACUAUGUGUUAAAAAAGAUUCGAUUAGCUCGACAAACAGAACGUUGCAGAAGAUCUGCUCAUCAAGAGGUAGUACAUUGUGUUGUUUUUCAAUUUUAUUUUGGUUAUUGUUUUGCCUUUAUAGCCUGUUUCCUCGAGCUUUUGGGAAGUCAAAAAUGUUUAUUUUAUGGAGUUGAGGUCUCGACCUUUUAGAAAAUUCUGUUAAGAAAUUUGUGCAUUUCUUUUGUACGCUUGCCUAUGCUCCGGUUAACAUUUUGAUAGUGGCUGCAAAAUUUAGAACCCGUUUGGAUGGACUUAUUUUAAUUGGCUUUGAAGCAUAAGCCAUAAGUUAGGAAUUGUAGCUUUUGGCUUUUUAAAAACAAGUGCCUGAAAGCACUUUUUUACUUUAUCCAAACAGUUAACUAUUCUUUAGAAUAGGUAGGUAAAUUUUCUCGAAUCAAUGUUUAUUUUCUUUAUGACCAAGUUUACUUUGGCAGAUUGGAUGUCCUCCUCUGUCGGAGAACUUUACAGUACUGUUUAGAAAUUUUCUACUGCCUACUUGGAAUGACUGGGUUAUCUGAGAUGUCUCGACGUUUAGAGAUGGGUGCAGUUCCGUGCUGUUUUAGGGAUGUAGCUAUGUCAAUUCAUUACUACCGACUCCCGGAGAAGUUAAUUACCAGAUUUUUUGUAGCUAUUCUUGAAAUUCCUGUGGCAUUUGUUAUUCUUUUAACCAAUUCCGUACAUGCAUUGAUUGAAGAAAAGGGGCUAUAGAGAAAGUAAGUUCUCCAUCUUGAACAACUACUUUGUUCUUUGCUUGCUCCAUCAAUUAAGAAUUCUUUAUUGAAAGUACCAAUGAAGAGAUGUUUUUUUUAUUGUUACUUGGCUGCUGAUCAUAGUUAUCGUAGUUCGGGGGGAGCAUCUGCAUCUGGUGAAUUUACUUAUGACACCUCUUUGGCUGGCUUACAUUCUUACCUUGGUGAUGUCGAGGAUACUCAUAAUAGGCUGGCCUUCUUGGAUGACAGAGCUGUCUCAACUGUGCCUCUGUUCUAUCUAGAAGGUAAGUGCAUUACUCGGUUGCCUGUGACUUAUCUUUUCUUCAAUUACUGGAGCACCGGCCCAACAUCAGAGGCUCAUAAUCUUGAAAAAUGUUGGUGCAAGAUGCAAGAGACCCCAAAUUUCAUAAUGCAAGAAAUAACAAGAACUGGAGUUGAAUGAUAGAGUGCUUCCAGAGUAACUUUGCUUCCUUUCCUUAGUCGUAUGAUAACAUUGCAAUGAAGAAGCUGAGGGCAUAUAUGUGAAAGAAACCAAAAGCAUUUGCUUUGCAUAUUCUACAAAUUUCAACAAUACACUUAGGUGGCAAUUUUUUUGCACCGAAUUCUCCCAAAAAAGGUUGUUCAUUGCCUCAAAGUAGGAUUGGCUCUUUCCCUUGUGUCUGGCAAUUUUUUUUGCACCUAAUUCUCCCAAAAAAAAAAGGUUGUUCAUUGCCUCAAAGUAGGAUUGGCUCUUUCACUUGUGUCUUUGUUUUAUUACAUGUGGCCUCUGUGUGAAGUUGUUGGAUGGUAUGCUAUGUGGGCUGUUAUGGCAAUUGAAGUAGUAUUUGAGUACACUCUAGGUUCUACACUUUAUAAGUGUGUAAAUAGAGCUAUGGCAGCAUGUCUCGCUGAAUCUCUAGGAAUUGAUGUUCGCAGGUUGCAAGUCAAUCUGAAGAAACAUUUGAACCUGUUAUUCUCCAAGCUUAAGUUUUUCUCUUAGGUAUGUAAGAGUUUCUUAUAAUCUAUACUAUAUUAAAAGCAUGACGGGCCUUAGAAAUAUUGAUUGAACUUUUUGCCCCUCAUUAAAAGCCUCAAUAAUAGA